UAGAUGAUGGCGACCGGCGCACGGGUGCGUAACGCGUGUGUAACCUGCCUGUAAUUAGGGGAUAGCUCGGUGAAAGUCGAAUUAAUACCCUAUAUUCUAUUUUAUCCGCAUGGGUUUUAUAGGAAAGAUUUAUUGAUUACAGAUGGGCAUGCGUUCCAUUAGCUUGUUGGUGAGGUAACGGCUCACCAAGGCAACGAUGGAUAGGGGGACUGAGAGGUUGACCCCCCACACUGGUACUGAGACACGGACCAGACUCCUACGGGAGGCAGCAGUGAGGAAUAUUGGUCAAUGGGCGGAAGCCUGAACCAGCCAAGUCGCGUGAAGGAAGACGGUCCUAUGGAUUGUAAACUUCUUUUGUAGAGGAAUAAUGGCGUCCACGUGUGGAUGAGAGGAAUGUACUCUACGAAUAAGUAUCGGCUAACUCCGUGCCAGCAGCCGCGGUAAUACGGAGGAUACGAGCGUUAUCCGGAUUUAUUGGGUUUAAAGGGUGCGUAGGUGGCGAACUAAGUCAGUGGUGAAAAGCUGCAGCUCAACUGUAGUCUUGCCGUUGAAACUGGUUUGCUCGAGAGGAGACGAGGUAUGCGGAAUGUGUGGUGUAGCGGUGAAAUGCAUAGAUAUCACACAGAACGCCGAUUGCGAAGGCAGCGUACCAGGCUCUAUCUGACACUGAGGCACGAAAGCGUGGGUAUCAAACAGGAUUAGAUACCCUGGUAGUCCACGCUGUAAACGAUGAAUACU
Molecule: ribosomal RNA, 738 nt
Filed under: uncultured Porphyromonas sp.
Lineage: Bacteria; Pseudomonadati; Bacteroidota; Bacteroidia; Bacteroidales; Porphyromonadaceae
Description: bacterial SSU rRNA
Rfam family: Bacterial small subunit ribosomal RNA
Source: RNAcentral